AGGAUGCCCCGCGCGCGUCGCGUCCGGCGCGGGCGUGGAAGCGUCAUUGCGGACGAGUUGAGCCUUGAGGAAAGAUCCCGAGGUUGUGGCCCUGGCCCCAGAGCUCUGGGAAGACAAGUUCAAUCCGUAUCCCAGUAUUUGCAUAGCUGAGGCAGGAGAAUUGCCAGGAGGUUGAGGGCCAGCCUGAGCUACAGAGGCUUCAGCAACAGGAGAUUAUAAUUAAGAUGCUUCCUGAAGACGCUUUGCAAGGAAUCAAGCCUGACUUCGGUUUAACUGCUUCCUAAUAAUUGUGCUCAUUUGUUUUAAUUAAUGCUGGGACCAGUCUUCAGUUUCUUGACAAGUAUGUCAUGAUCUGACCUCUGGUGACCUUCAGGGUCAGGUGUACAAGGGGGCACAUACGUCUGGAGUUCAUUUGCAGUGGCUGGAGGCCCUGGUACGCCCAUUCUCUGUAUGUCUCCCUCUCUGUCGCUCCCAA
Long non-coding RNA from Jaculus jaculus (lesser Egyptian jerboa), 475 nucleotides. RefSeq lists it as uncharacterized. Lineage: Eukaryota; Metazoa; Chordata; Mammalia; Rodentia; Dipodidae. The transcript is spliced from 3 exons. The record is from RefSeq and is a predicted model, not a curated record.